RNAcentral lists this long non-coding RNA (1416 nucleotides) under Homo sapiens (human). RNAcentral's name for it is "long intergenic non-protein coding RNA 964". The record is from RNAcentral. Lineage: Eukaryota; Metazoa; Chordata; Mammalia; Primates; Hominidae.
AAGGUUGCCCUGCUGAUGUCAUGCCUGACCAUAUGACUUGCUCCAGCCAAUGAAAUGUAAGCAGAAGUGACAUAUGCAGCAUGACCAGUGGAAGCUUCGAAGAGCUAUUGCCAAUUUCCACCCUCUCUCUGGAAACUGUCAUUAGGGUUAGGGAAACUGUCAUGAGAUCUGCAUAUUUUAGAUAGAGGCUGCUUGCCUUAUUUGGGCACCUAAUGAAAAAGACAUGGAGGCCAGGUGCGGUGGCUCAUGUCUGUAAUCCCAGCACUUUGGGAGGCCAAGGCGAGUGGAUCACCUGAGGUCAGGAGUUCGAGACCAGCCUGACCAACAUGGCAAAACCCCGUCUGUACUAAAAGUGCAAACACAAAGGGAACUGCGUGGCUUGUUUCUACCUGAACAUUGUCAAGUGAUUUCAUCCUUUGAAACACAGUUGUGAAGUGUGUCCAGCAGUCUGAGAACAAGAAGAAGAAGAAAAUCUAAUCCUUCAGGGUGUCUGUGUGCCAGCCCUGCUCUCAGCACUUCCCAUGUGGAACUCCUUUACUUCUCCUAACAACUCCAUGACAUGGGUUAGACUGUGAUUGUUCCCAUAUUGUUGGUAGGGAAACUGAGGCAUGCAGGUGUUACAGAGCUCUCUCAAGUGGCAAGCUUUCUGGGUGGUUACAGAGUGGCAGAGCUGGGGUAUCCCAUGAUGUCACCACACUGCUAUAUGGAAAAGAACAUUAAUCGAGCACCUACGUGCUUGAUUCUCUUAAUUCUGUGACUGAACUCUCAAAACACCCUGGGUAAGCACUAUCAUCUCCUAUUUUCACAAGUGAAAAAACUGGGAUUCAAAAAAAUUAAGUGACUUACCAAAUAUUACAGAGCUAGUAAGCCAAGACUUGAACACUGAGAUGGAAUUCUACCUUUUAAGGUGGCUAAGCAACAGAAGGAUGUUCCUUUCCCAAGGGGAGCACUGCGUGUUUUGAAAUAUACAAAUAGUGGGAAACGAAAUCUUUGUUCUGGAUGCAGUUAUAAUUUGGAAAGCGAGGAAAUAAAUUAUAACAAGGGGAAAAAACAGAAUACUACUAAAGUCAUGCCGUGUGACUUCUGAAGCUAGCUCCUAAGAAGUCCUUGCAGCUUCUGCCUGCGACUCUUAGAACACUUGCUUUGAAGGAUGCCAGAUGCUGUCUUAAAAGUCUGAGCACUCUGAAACCAUCAUGCUGUGAGGAAGCCCAAGCUAACCACAUGGGCAAAAAAGAUGCCCUCUGACUGCCACCAUUUGAGACACUCUAAUUAAGAACUGCCUCAUUGAGCCCAUGAGGCCCUGUGAAUGAUAAUAAUAAAUUGUUUUUAACCACUAUGUUUUUGGAUUUGUUAUAAGUUUAUAGAUAACAAGAAAAAGUUAUAUUAGCAUGGUAAUAAAAUUAUGGAUAUGUGUAA